This is a long non-coding RNA of Sycon ciliatum, 327 nucleotides long. RefSeq lists it as uncharacterized. The record is from RefSeq and is a predicted model, not a curated record. NCBI's taxonomy places the organism in Eukaryota, Metazoa, Porifera, Calcarea, Leucosolenida, Sycettidae. The transcript has 3 exons.
GUUGCCACUGCUUGCUUAUAAGGGAAUCAUGUGUGUUGCCCUUUUUUGCCUUUUCCGACGUCCUCCUCCGACUGUACUCCCAGGACUGAACUUACGGGAAGGAGUGCUUCCAAGAUGGGAGACGAAGAAGAAGAAACCGCUGAAUCCGGCGGCAAUGGCUGGGAUGCUGCGUUCUCGAGAAGAAGCGUUAUUUCUGCAUUCCAAGAAGGACGGCACAAUGUGUCGGACUGUCCGCGUCGCAUUGAACUGGUCCGAUGAGGCUGCUAUUGCACACACAGUGAGGGAACUCCCAUACGGGAACUCGGAAGUACUGCUACAGUGCAGGUA